Molecule: ribosomal RNA, 503 nt
Filed under: uncultured bacterium
Lineage: Bacteria
Description: partial 16S ribosomal RNA
Rfam family: Bacterial small subunit ribosomal RNA
Source: RNAcentral
AUUGAACGCUGGCGGCAGGCUUAACACAUGCAAGUCGAGCGGGGUGAUGGUGCUUGCACUAUCACUUAGCGGCGGACGGGUGAGUAAUGCUUAGGAAUCUGCCUAUUAGUGGGGGACAACAUCUCGAAAGGGAUGCUAAUACCGCAUACGUCCUACGGGAGAAAGCAGGGGAUCACUCGUGACCUUGCGCUAAUAGACGAGCCUAAGUCGGAUUAGCUAGGUGGUGGGGUAGAGGCCUACCAAGGCGACGAUCUGUAGCGGGUCUGAGAGGAUGAUCCGCCACACUGGGACUGAGACACGGCCCAGACUCCUACGGGAGGCAGCAGUGGGGAAUAUUGGACAAUGGGGGGAACCCUGAUCCAGCCAUGCCGCGUGUGUGAAGAAGGCCUUAUGGUUGUAAAGCACUUUAAGCGAGGAGGAGGCUCUUUUGGUUAAUACCCAAGAUGAGUGGACGUUACUCGCAGAAUAAGCACCGGCUAACUCUGUGCCAGCCGCCGCCGUAA